This 270-nucleotide ribosomal RNA is filed under the name Cantharellus cinnabarinus. RNAcentral describes it as "partial 28S ribosomal RNA". It matches the Rfam family "Eukaryotic large subunit ribosomal RNA", at positions 84 to 335 of the family's 3401-position model. The record is from RNAcentral. Lineage: Eukaryota; Fungi; Basidiomycota; Agaricomycetes; Cantharellales; Hydnaceae.
UAACUGCGAGUGAAGAGGGAAGAGCUCAUCAUUGGCAUCUGGCAGCGUUGCGCUGUCCGAGUUGUAGAUGAGAAGAGUAGGCCAUCUGGACUGCGUGGUGUCCAAGUACAAUAGGCCGUCAGUGGGACAUCAUAGAGGGUGACAAUCCCGUCCUUGACACCAACGUACGAGUCCAUUACGAUGCCUAUCUCAGAGAGUCGAGCAGUUUGGGAUUUGGUGCUUAAACAUGGGAGGUAGAUUCCUUCUUAAGCUAAAUACAGGCAAGAGACC